This 502-nucleotide ribosomal RNA is filed under the name uncultured bacterium. RNAcentral's name for it is "SSU rRNA". It matches the Rfam family "Bacterial small subunit ribosomal RNA", at positions 26 to 521 of the family's 1533-position model. The record is from RNAcentral.
AGAUUGAACGCUGGCGGCAUGCCUUACACAUGCAAGUCGAACGGUAACGCGGGGGCAACCCUGGCGACGAGUGGCGAACGGGUGAGUAAUACAUCGGAACGUACCCAGUAGUGGGGGGAUAGCUCGGCGAAAAGCCGGAUUAAUACCGCAUACGACCUACGGGUGAAAGCGGGGGAUCGAAAGACCUCGCGCUAUUGGAGCGGCCGAUGUCGGAUUAGCUAGUUGGUGAGGUAAAGGCUCACCAAGGCUACGAUCCGUAGCUGGUCUGAGAGGACGACCAGCCACACUGGGACUGAGACACGGCCCAGACUCCUACGGGAGGCAGCAGUGGGGAAUUUUGGACAAUGGGCGAAAGCCUGAUCCAGCCAUGCCGCGUGUGUGAAGAAGGCCUUCGGUUGUAAAGCACUUUUGUUCGGUAACGAACGACCAAGGUCGAAUAAACCUUGGUAAUGACGGUACCGGAAGAAUAAGCACCGGCUAACUACGUGCCAGCAGCCGCGGU